UGUCUUGUAAAAGGAAUGAUGGGAAUUUAAACCUCUUCCAGAGUAUCAAUUGGAGGGCAAGUCUGGUGCCAGCAGCCGCGGUAAUUCCAGCUCCAAUAGCGUAUAUUAAAAUUGUUGCAGUUAAAAAGCUCGUAGUUGAAUUUCUGCUGCAUCGUCGCAUCUCUUGCUGAGUGCUUCGUUUCGGCUUAUUUCGGAUUGAUUUUUUCUUUCCGGAUGAUUACUUUGAGAAAAUUAGAGUGCUCAAAGCAGGCUUUUGCCUUGAAUAGUUUAGCAUGGAAUAAUAAAGUAGGACUUUGGUUCUAUUUUGUUGGUUUUAGGUACCAAAGUAAUGGUUAAUAGGAACAGUUGGGGGCAUUCGUAUUUAACUGUCAGAGGUGAAAUUCUUAGAUUUGUUAAAGACGAACUACUGCGAAAGCAUUUGCCAAGGAUGUUUUCAUUAAUCAAGAACGAAAGUUAGGGGAUCGAAGACGAUCAGAUACCGUCGUAGUCCUA
Molecule: ribosomal RNA, 492 nt
Filed under: Theileria sinensis
Lineage: Eukaryota; Apicomplexa; Aconoidasida; Piroplasmida; Theileriidae
Description: SSU rRNA
Rfam family: Eukaryotic small subunit ribosomal RNA
Source: RNAcentral